GCCUACCCCGGAGAGGCGUAAUGCCACUCGCUGCCCUCCACACAACGCUUCUCUGCCCGAUUUGAAAAAGCGUGCGUUCUUCCCUGCCAAGGACGGACUCAAUCCCGGUUCCGGCCUGCUCCGAGUCUCGGGGUUCAGGGUGCGGUUCAGUCCCACCAGGAGAAGGGCAGUUUAUAUAAUAGCGGCUUCCGGCCCUGCUCGGUUGGCCUCUCCCCCACCCCCCUUCCAAAAGUCGAGGGAGAGGCCGGAGGGGAGGCCAUCAGAGAACAGAGCCGGGCCAGGCACCGAGAGAAGAGAUUGUGACGCCGGCCCCGCGCAGCUCCGGCUCCUACUACAAGAGCAGCAGCAGGAGCAACAAAAGAAGUAGCAAGCGCCGGCGGAGGAGCGAGACCCGAGACUGUGACUCAGGAAAGAGGGAGCAGACGAAGGGUCCGGUAACUAGAGCCACUAUUUCGGGAGUGGUUCUAGUUCCAGUUCCAGUUCGUGAAGGGUAGAGGUCAAGCUCUCAGGCUCCGUAAUGUAGGGUGCCUUGGGGGUCUCCCCUCUGCUGUACAACAUACACAUGAAGCUACUGGGGGAAAUCAUCCCUUGGAAGGAGUUGCAUUCCUGCAUAUAAAUCAUUUCUGCAAUAUGGGGUUUUUCCUGGAUUCAUGGCUCCCUCAGUAGCAGGUAAAGAUGUGGUCAAAAGGACCUGCACACCUUCAACUUAUGUGCCAGUUGCAGCUAUUCCUGAACUAGGAAUUAUUGAAAUCACUUUAUCCUUGUCACCUCAAGCUUGGCCUGAUGCUACUUGUUGUAUAAGAGGCUGCCGUCCAUGCUGUCCUCUAUAAAUGAAAAUGUCUUUA
Long non-coding RNA from Pantherophis guttatus, 845 nucleotides. RefSeq lists it as uncharacterized. NCBI's taxonomy places the organism in Eukaryota, Metazoa, Chordata, Lepidosauria, Squamata, Colubridae. The record is from RefSeq and is a predicted model, not a curated record.